GACGAACGCUGGCGGCGGGCUUAACACAUGCAAGUCGAACGGAAAGGCCCUGCUUUUGUGGGGUGCUCGAGUGGCGAACGGGUGAGUAACACGUGAGUAACCUGCCCUUGACUUUGGGAUAACUUCAGGAAACUGGGGCUAAUACCGUAUAGGAGCUCCUGUUGCAUGGUGGGGGUUGGAAAGUUUCGGCGGGUGGGGAUGGAUGCGCGGAUUAUCAGCUUGUUGGUGGGGUAGUGGCUUACCAAGGCUUUGACGGGUAGCCGGCCUGAGAGGGUGACCGGCCACAUUGGGACUGAGAGAGGGCCAAGACUCCUACGGGAGGCAGCAGGGGGGAAUAUUGCACACUGGGCUGCCGCGUGAUGCAGCAACGCCGCGUGCGGGAUAACGGCCUUCGGGUUGUAAACCGAUUUCGACUGUAACGAAGCGUGAGUGACGGUAAUGGGUAAGGAAGCACCGGCUAACUACGUG
RNAcentral lists this ribosomal RNA (468 nucleotides) under uncultured bacterium. RNAcentral's name for it is "partial 16S ribosomal RNA". It matches the Rfam family "Bacterial small subunit ribosomal RNA", at positions 28 to 507 of the family's 1533-position model. The record is from RNAcentral.